CUCUCAGUUAUAAUUAAACUUACACAUGCAAGUCUCCCACUCCAGUGAAAAUGCCCUUUAUCUUCCAACUAUAAGAAGAAAAGGAGUUGGUAUCAGGCUCAAAUAGCCCAAGACACCUAGCUUAGCCACGCCUCCAAAGGAUUUCAGCAGUGAUUAACAUUAAACAUUAGCGCAAGCUAAAUUUAGUUAUAAUUUAUAUGGUCGGUUAAUUUCGUGCCAGCCACCGCGGUUAUACGAAAGACUUAAACUGAAAGCCACCGGCGUAAAGCGUGAUUAAGGGUAAAAAUUUUCUAAAGCUAAACUCUGAUUUAAUUGUUAUAAGUUCUUAUCAGUUGGAAACUCAUUCACGAAAGUAGCUUUAUCAUUCCUGACUUCACAGUAGCCAAGACCCAAACUGGGAUUAGAUACCCCACUAUGCUUGGCCCUAAACUUUGAUAAUUACAAUUCUC
RNAcentral lists this ribosomal RNA (449 nucleotides) under Leptobrachium montanum (mountain spadefoot toad). RNAcentral's name for it is "partial 12S rRNA". It matches the Rfam family "Bacterial small subunit ribosomal RNA", at positions 29 to 826 of the family's 1533-position model. Lineage: Eukaryota; Metazoa; Chordata; Amphibia; Anura; Megophryidae. The record is from RNAcentral.